CUAUUAUCAGUGGUUGGUGCCAUUUCUACUCUAAAAUUUUGAAUCUUGGUAUAGCUUGACAUGGAAGUUCUAUCUAUGUAGGCAUUUCUCUUCCCUUUUCCUAUAAUAAUAAUAACUUAUUGUUGAUCAUGUAUCUGCUAAAGUGAUGACAUAUCAAUUCUUGGUGGCCUUUUUUUGUAGGAAAUUUUCUUGUGAGCAAGGAACCCCCCCAUCGUCCAAUUCUGCUUGACUUUGGCCUUACUAAGUUGAUAUCAAGCUCUAUGAAACAUGCACUAGCAAAAAUGUUUUUGGCAUGUGCUGAGGUAAGUACCAAAUAAAAAUUUCAAUGAAUGACGUUCUACCUAUGUUGAGCUAUACUAUUACUUGAUCAUACCUAUGUGUAGUGAACCAAUAAAUACCGAUUGGUACAUACUAGUUCAACUGGUAUUUAAAAUUUUGUUUAUAUAUACAUCUAAGAUAUGUUUACACUUAGGUAUAUAUGCAUAAAUCUAUUUUGUCCAUUUGGAUGUUAUGCAGUUGCAGUUAAAAAUGCCCUAUAGAACUAGAUUUACUGCAUUUUUCAGCUGCUACUACCUUGUAGGAUUUUUAAAGAUGCAUUAUUGAAGAUGUUAAAAGUUCAAAUAUGCACUACUAUACUUUUGUCAUCAUAUGUCUGUUAACAGGAAAGUAACAGUCUCUAUCUAUUCUUUAAAAUAAUCUUUAUUACAGCAUAAAAGGUUCUAUGGCAGGGGGACCAUGUAGCUUUAUUGGCAGCCUUCACGGAGAUGGGACUUAAAUUGCGCCUUGACAUGCCCGACCAGGCUAUGGACAUUGCAUCAGUAUUUUUUCGCAAUUCCACACCAGCAAGUGAAGCACUUGUGAGUUUAAUUGCUGUCUGCUUCAAGAUUGAUGGUUUAUAUUUUUCUUUUCAUUUUGGAAGAUUCAAGUGAGAUUCAUAGAUCAAGUAAAUAAUCCCAUGCAUUCUUCUAUGAAGGAAAAUGUGAAAUCUUUGGCUGAUCAAAGAGAGAAGAAUAUGAAGUUUAUUCAAGAAAAGAUGAAGUUGAACAAAAAGGAAGUUCAGCAUUUUAACCCUGUAAGUUCAGUACUUUUUCCAAAGAGCUAUUUAUAAGUUCUUUUUGAUAAUUUAUUUCAUGGAAGCUAACAGGAAUAAGUCGUAUGCUUUACAUAUAUAUAAUCUCGUGUAUGCAUAAAUCUAUGUAUCUAUGUAUAUGAAUUUUAUUUUCAUAUGUAUACUCCUAGUAGUUAUUUAGGGAUUUAUAUACUACACAAAUUAUACAUGCCGACAUAUGUAUGCAUUUAGGCAAGCUUGAAUUCUUUGUGAAAUUAGGCAAAAUUCCCUUUAAAGAAAUCGAGAGACCAUAUUCAUGUUGCAAAAUUGAAACUUUGCCUUCUCCAGGUUGAUGCUUUCCCAGGUGAUGCAGUUAUAUUUAUAAGGGUAGUAAAUCUUCUUCGAGGUCUGUUUGGACUCAUCUCUCUCUUAGAUAUUAUAUGUGAAUGCAUUACAGAUGAAAACGAUGCUUUUUCAGGGCUUUCUUCUACACUUGAUGUUCGUAUUGUUUAUUUGGACAUCAUGAAACCAUUUGCUGAGUCAACACUACUAGGGUGAGUAUCUCGGUUGCAUGCUGUCACUGUUAAACUCCAUUUCAUUUUCUUAUCUUAGGAUUGUCAUAUUAUAUAUCUUGUUUCUUUCUCUAAUUCCCAACUUUAUGUGAAAUUAUGGGCAUCAGAAGCAUCAGGACUGAGCCAGCGUUGGAUACCCAAUGGAUUUAUGAUUCACCAAUUCACUCUGAUGUGGAGGCCAAGUUGAGGCAACUCCUGGUUGAGCUGGGAAAUGAGAAAAUACUUGGGAUACAAGUAGGUUUAGUGUACUUUAUUAAUCUGCUUCUUCUUGACUAAAAAAUAAAAAAAAUGUUAUUUUCUUUUCUCCCUUCUGAUUGGCUUACAUAAAUGUAACUUUAGAGGUUUAAUGGGUUGGAAUUCCUUCAGCUAACGGCAGUGAUAACAAUUCUUUUUCAUUUGACACAUUCAUUUCUCUUGCUAUCUGAUAUUCUUUCUUAGUACCCUUUGAAGAUGUGAUUUCUAUUUUCUAUGACUUACUUGUUAAAGAUUAAGCCUUGGAUUAUCAGAAGUUCUAAUAAUUGUUGGAUAUUUGCUUGUUUCAGCAAUCAAGCCUCUUUUUCUUAAAUUUUCUUGACAGUUUUAGAAUGGCAAACUUUCAUGUCCUAUGUCUCUAGGAACUUUCAUUGUACAUUGAACAUUAGUAAUUGACAAUCAUGAACAUUGAGAUGACCCUGAGUACUGAAUCAGAAAAAGAAUUCUUUAUAUUGGAAGAAACUGAAAGUAAAAAAACAUUAAAAUCAUCCCAACACAAUCUAAUCCAUGUAUCAUGAUUGUUUAAUUUGGACAUAAUUUUGAUGGAUGGAGCAGACCUUUGAUCAAAUAGUUUGAUUUGGAAAACUCAGUUUGUUUGAAAGAAGAAUCAAGGUAACUGAUAACAAGAAGAUGCUAAUAACCAUUCUCACCUGUUGGAUUAAGUGUUUUUUCACAGAAGAGGAGCAGAUGGUAUUGACAUUCGAAUUAUGGUGGCAAUGGCAUGGCUAUGAUGGAUGUUAAGUAUCUUAAUGAGUUUGUUAUGUGAAUUAAGAUGUGAUAGCAUAGAUGGAUAGAUUGUAAAUAAGGUAGAAGAUUCAUUGAGAUAUGAAACAUAUCAUUAGGAGUUGUUGGAUAAUUAUUCUUUCGAGGAAUAAGGCACAUGUGGAAGAUUGCCAGGUAUAGAUGGCUGGAGAAAAUGGUAGUUGUUUGGGUCUACAACUUCUUCAAAUGUUUCAUGUUUAGAUGAAACAUUUUGAUGGUUUGAACUUUGAAGUUGCUUGUUGGUUGUUUAUAAGUAAAAUAUAAUGCUCAAUAAGUUCUCAAUUUUCGCAAGUCUGUGUAAAUAAUGUGCAUUCUUGAACAUGAUUUACAAAUAUGAAAAGUAUAAAUACUGAAUGGCUAGUUCAUAAACUAUGCAGCAAGCGUGCAAGCAAUAAAAUUGUUACGUAUAUGAAGGUUUUCUUACUAUCUAGGGACUUGACUAGACAUGUUUUUGGAUUAUAGACUAAGUUCUUGAGAUAUUCUAUCAGUCUAUCUAUCAUGCAAUCUGUUGUUUUACUCUUAAUAGAUUGCUUUAGAAACUGGGGAACUCUAUAAAAAUUUGGUGAUACAAGAUUGUCUCCAGGCAACGAUACACAGAUAUAAUUUCAUGAUCGGUUCAGCUUAAUGAUUUCUUUUAUAUCCUUUGUUCUGCUGCAGAAGAUCUCUGAUGUCUAGUAAUCCAAGUCAUCUUUGUUUCAUUUACUUACCUGAAACACAAUGUCUGACAUCUUCAGGUGUGUGCAUACAAAGAUGGAAAGGUCUUAAUAGAUACUGCUGCUGGCAUGCUUGGGAGAUAUGAUCCUCGACCUGUUCAACCUGACACCUUAUUUCCUGUCUUCUCAGUAACAAAAGGAAUCACUGCUGGGAUGUUACAUUGGCUUGUGGAUAAGGGGUAUGACAUUAUCAUAUAUUUUACUUUCAGUACUGAAUGGUAUCUAGGAUUCUAGUGUAGUUUUGUUAGAAACUGUAAUAGAUAUUUUAAUGGUGAUUGCGUUGAUAAUAUGGUGGGAUUUCAAGAAAGGACAUUUGUUGCAUAUUGCUCAAGUGGUCAUUCAAAACUAAGUGACAACAUCAAACCAAAUAUUUUAUCUAAAGUUAUCUUCUGUGACCUAGUGCAAUGCUAGACCAAAUCAAUAUAGAUCUUUGUCAACCUAACUUGCACAAAUUUGCUAUCAACUAUACUUCAUGAUCUACUUUAUGUUCCAACUAUACCUGCUUGCUUACAUUUCUUUCUGCUAGCAUCAAGUCAGAACAUUUUUCAUAGGAUAGGAUCCAUAAUGGGUCCAGUGCUACUCUUUAUUUUAGCUAAUUCUAUAAGCUGGAUUUGAUUCCUUGACUACCACUUAUGGAGUCAUGUCCUGAGUAAUUUCAGGUCCAUUUACUUUUUGGCACCACAUUUUUAGCCUAUGAACGGGAGUUGGGGAAUUUCAUGUCCUGUGCGUGCGCGCGCACAUACAGACACACACACACAUAAAAUGAUGAAAUUGUAGAUUAUCAUUUCUACUAGUCUUUGUACAUGAUCUUAUUGAAGUCUAAGCAUCCCUUUGUUUGAUGUAGGACAUAGCCUAUUACACUUUAGAAUCGUGGAAAUGCUUUGUUAAGCAUGAAAAAAUUAAUUAUGGUGACAGCCUUCUGAAAGACAUUUUUGUUUGUAGACACAUGAUCCUAUGCAACAUUUAUGGAGCUUGGCAUUUGGCAUGUGCCAUCACUAUCCUCAAUGUAAAAAUCCAAAUGAUGUUCUAGUUAUGGAAGCUUUAAUGAGAAUCAAUUUUUUUUUUGCAGGAAAUUCAAGCUUGAUGAAACCAUAGCAAAUAUUUGGCCAGAGUUUAGUGCCAGCAAAAAAGAUAUGAUAAAGGUGAAGGGCACAUUAGAUUCCUGAAAAUGAUUUUUGUGAGCUAAAAAAUAUGUUGUUAUCUCGAUUUGUCAUUUACUUCCUUUCCUUUUUUUAGGUUCAUCAUGUUCUUAACCACUCAUCUGGUUUGCACAACGCUAUGUCUGAUGUAAUGAGGACCAAUCCUUUGCUACUUUGUGACUGGGAGGAAUCUCUACACCGUAUUGCUCAGUCAGCUCCUGAGACAGAACCAGGUUCCCAACAACUAUACCACUACUUGUCUUUUGGUUGGCUAUGUGGUGGUGUAAUAGAGGUAUUUUACCACAUAUUACUUUACUGAAACAAGUAUCUACUGUUAAUCUUUGGUUAUUACAAAAUUAGCAAAAUUUAUGUUGCCACAUUUGAUAUAGCUGAAGGUUGAGUACUGUUUUUCACCGAAAAUAAAAGUUCAUCUUGUAUUAUGUAAUGUGCAAAAGGUAUUAUUAUGAAAGAAAAAUAAAAUGUUGGUACCAAGACUUCAGGCUGGUAUCAUACCAACUUGUACCAGUGUACUGAGUGUUAGUAUGGCAAUACAUAUUAAACUUUGGAAAGAGCUUGAAAAAAUGAAAAAACAAAAAAGAAUACCUAGUACAGGGUCUGUAUCGUCCUAUACCAAGCAGUUCAGGACUUGUAUCGUCCUGUACCAGUUACGAGGUGAUACAUGUCCUAUACAGGGUGUACUAGAUGCUAGAGGUCUUGUAUUGGAUGAUACAGACCUUCUAUCAGACAUAGGGUUUCAUGUCCCUAGUCUGCAUAACUGAAAGCUACCACUUCUACCAUAUUGUACCAAACAGUACUGCAAACCUUGGUUGGUACACUACAAUAGCUUGAGAGUCUUGACCAGAUAUUGGCAUAUUUUUCUUUGUGUUUCUUUUAUUGUUUACCUGAAGUUUUAAUCUUGUUUUGUAUUAAAUAUUGAAAUAAUGAAUAUCUUUUGAAACAGCAUGCAUCUGGAAAGAAAUUUCAAGAAGUACUGGAAGAAGCUUUUAUUCACCCUCUCAAUAUUGAAGGUGAACUAUAUAUUGGCAUUCCUCCUGGUAUGUACAAAUUUUCCUUUAUUCUUUUUGGUUGAAAUAGGUCGUCUAAUAAUUGACAAGUUUGGUGGCACAGGUAGACCUUGACAAUAUGUAAAAGGAAUAAUUGAUGAAAUAUGCAACUCUCGGACAUUAGUGCUUGGGUACAGUAGAUAGAGAUUAUUGUAAAAACAAGUGAUGCCCAGUGGCUUCACUUGUAGUUACAAUUAUGAGAAAUGACCACAACAUAAUCUUCAGUUUGCAUGAUAAAGAAAUAGUUAAUCCAAUAAACUACAGAUGGUCCAUGUUGAAGCACAUUGGUGCCAGUUAUUUAUGUUCACUUAUCAACAAACCUGUCUCAAUUCUAAUAAUUUUUUACAAGGUUCGCAAUAUCGUACCGUACCGGUAUUUCGACCUGGGCUCAGUACCGGUACAGUACGGUAUACCGAGCGGUACACCCAGGUGUACCGAGUACUGUAGUAAUGCUACAGUGAUACAGUAACUGCUACAGUGCUACAGUGCCUCGGACCGGCAAUAGUCGGUCCACGUACCGAAAACCUGUCGGACCGGUAUGUACCGCCCGUACCGGGCGGUACUGCUCGGUACGGCAGACCCUGAUUUUUUAUACCUAUACACAAUGCCUAUUACAUAACCUAUUUGAGUCUAAUAUGUGCAUAUACAGAUUUUUUUCAAGCUUCCCAUGUAUUUUGUGGAUGAACAUGUUUUAAUUGAUUGUGUUGUCAAGUCAUAUUAAAAGGUUUGACUGUUUCGAGAUUAUCUUUAACAUGAAAUGUAUGAUUUUAAAAUAACUUAUUGUUCAUCUUCAUAGUGUAGGACAUAUAUGGAAAGAUUUAAUAGAAUUUUCGCAUUCAUUGCUGGAACUCAUAAUCUAAGGGAAGGGAAUAAACGUGACAAAUCUUCUAGAAAAUUGGUAUUGAAGCAACAAUAACUUUGAAGAUAAUUGGAGAGGAAGGAGAUUAGAGAAGAGGAAGAAGAUGCCCGGAGUUAAGUCACAUGUGAUUUUGGGCAUAUGUGAGUUAACUUCACUUGUAUUUUCAAGAAGUUCAAUACACCAUCAAUAUCAUAAAAAUAAAUUGGUAACUAUCUUUAUUUAUACUUAAUAGAGGCUAUUCUACAUUAGAUUUAAAAAAUAAAAUCAGUAGCCAAUGGCUAUGUAUUAUCUAAAGGCAGAAUGCCUGUGUUUAGAUAUUAGUUAAUGAAAACAAUCAGCCAAGUUUUUCCUCAAUUUCUUUUGGUUUCCAUCGGAUUUUGAGAAGCAAAAAUUAUCUAGUGCUUGAAACCUUAAAAUCCUCACCUUAAAAAAUUUUGUAAUUGGGAUCUAAUUGUCUGCUUCUAUUGAAUAAGAAUAUGUAAUUGGUGCAGGACCAGUCCGUAUGAAGUCCUCCAUAUAAAACCCUUCACAAAUGACUAGUAGGUUGCAUCUCUUUCAUUAUCUUCCCUUGAGAAUCUUUCCUAUUAUGUGGACGACAUUAUUCAUAUUUUUAGUGUCGGUUUAAAUCUAGGCCUGAUACCAGUUUUGACAUGGGACCAGUAUGGUACUGGUAUACUUGGAAGUUUAUUGACCUGCACCUCUAUUACUAAAGAUAAUAAAAAGAUAAAUACCAAUUGGUACCGAAACAUAGGAUAAAUACCAAUCGGUAUCGAAACAUAGUCUGCCAGCAGUCCUUGGUCAGGCCAAUAAACGCUGGAUGAUACAUACCUGUACAGCCAACAUUUGAAGCCUUAUCUGUUAUAUUCCUUCUAGAGUCUACACAUUCAGAUCCUAUAGACAACUCAAAUAAGAAUCUGUAAAUAUUUGAUCUCCUAAAGAUCUUCUAAUCUUUAUGAAGAUCUUAACAGCCUGAUGCUUGAUAAGUUUAUGUUGAAAUUGACAUCUUAUAAAAUAUUGCUUUGUUGUAUUUUUAUCAUCUAAAAUUUUCCAUAUUCCUGUUUUGUCUCUUGUUUAUAUAAUUAUUUGCCUAAAGAGUAAAUAUCCAUGUCCAUUUGUUUGAAACUUCACUAAAUUUUGGAUUUCGUUCCAGGUGUAGAGUCUCGGUUGGCAGCACUCACACUGGACACAGAAGAUCUACAAAAUCUCCUUGAAAUCAAUGGCAGGCCGGAAAUGCCAUCCAGCUUGCAGGAGGGUAAUUUAGCUGAGAUCGCAUCUGGCGUUCCUGUGCUCUUUAACACACUAAACAUCCGGCGAGCCGUGAUUCCUGCUGCCAAUGGGCAUUGCUCGGCUCGUGCCUUGGCACGCUAUUAUGCUGCCCUUGCUAAUGGUGGAUCCACUCCUCCACCUCAUUCACUUGUUUCCAAGCCUCCCCUCGGAAGUCAUGUACAUGUUCCAACAUUUCCUUCCUUCAAGCAACCCAAGAAGAAAUUGAGAAUCAAGGAGAUAGAUAAUCCAGAUACACCGACCAAGAAGACCGAUGGCUUACGUCGCAGGGGUUGUAGCAAUAGCAAUAGUCCAAAAAAUAACAAGGCUUAUAACAUUGUAGACAACAACAUCGACAAUGAUGCACAGAAAAGUGUCCAAAGAAUAUUUAGCAGCCCCAAGAUCCAUGAUGCUUUCAUGGGUGUGGGUGAUUACUCCGACAUGGUUAUUGCAGACGGUAAAUUUGGGCUCGGGUUUAGGAGAUUUAAUACUGCAGCUGGUAAUCCAACGAGUUUUGGCCACUCUGGAGUAGGCGGAUCCACUGGAUUCUGUAAUAUUGAGCACAAUUUCUCAAUUGCAGUCACAGUAAACAAGAUGUCACUUGGUGGUGUUACAAGAAGUAUAAUUCAGCUGGUUUGCUCUGAGCUGAACAUUCCUGUGCCCGAAGAAUUCUCGAGGUUCGGGGAGAAGGGACCCGACAUGCAGUUCAAUCUGGGUCUGUAGCCGCAGCUUGUCACUAACAAGCCUCUCCAGUUUAUAUACACAGGUUUUUCCCUUUAGGAUACUAUCCUUCCUCACAGUGAAACACAAAAUAUAGAUCCACAAUUUAUUUUCCUUUUAACUUUGAUGUUAUUGUAAACACCAUAUUUGAUAUUAAUGCAUAAUUUAUAUUACCAUCAGAAGAAUAGAGGAUCAAGUGACUUGUGUUAUCCUCAAUCAAAAGAUCUAGAGUCUUUUUGAUGCAUGAAAGAUCUACAGUGUCUAAUGGCCUCCUUCAUAUCAGCCUUGGCAUUGAUGUCAUGAGGCUUUUAUGUUAAAUAUUUGCAGAUUGUGUGAAAUCAACAUGCUUCCAACAGAUUCUCACGAGGGACUAUAUUUUGUUUCAGCUUUUUAUCCCUGCUUAAUUUUAUAGGCUCAUUUCAAUUUGCAAGCAGAAUCUAGAGAAUGAUCUUUCGACCCUUACCGAACUGUAUCUUUGUAGGAAACUUUGGUAUUUACAUCAGUUCAGCUUUUACUUUCCAAUAAGUAUUUGACAAUUACUGUUCUGACCCAUGUAAAUUGCUUAAAGGCAGAUUUCAACAUGCAGUAGCAAACACAUUAAUAUGGUUUAAUAAACCAGUAAUGAAAUCCCACACGAGCAUUCAUCCCGUCGCGCAAAACAAAGCUGCUCUCAGCAUCUCUCUCACCUUGGCGCUCAAGCCAUGAACUGUGAUGAGGAAUCGACCAAAAGGAAUCCUAUCCUGCUUUGCUUGUGGCCGCCGUGCUGAGGUCGAUCCCAGAAAGCAGCACCUUGGUGCUCAAGGCACAAGGUCAGCUUUUGAGGAUUCCUGACGGUACCGUCCAUCGACGAACGGAGAAGGCAUCCUUCUUUGCUUCGGUGGUGGUUCCGCCGUAACCUCUUCCUUCCUCCACGAGCAAUGCCUUCUAAUAUGCUACGGCUGCGCCUCCCUCCACACCUCGUCAGCUGCAGCCCAUCGAUCCAUGAAUGUAUACGUCUCACCAUCGAUUUGAGUCGAUGUAGAAGUGCAGACAUCAGCGGAUCAUCUGUUUGCUUCCGCACCUUCUCCGUCUUCCGGAGUUCCUAAUGGGAUGGGUGACUCUCUACAAGCGGCGGCUCAAAGUAUUCACCACGGCAUUGCUGAUCUACCUGGACUACAAGGUGCUCUGUGCCGCCGGAUUCGUUCUUGUUUCCCAUCUAUUGAUUAGCGUCAGAAAUCAAUGGGGUUUUCUACUACUGUAGGCCGUGCAGAUGAUAGAUAACUGGUAUAGCGGUAGCAGAAGGGAUGAUCUUUGGGAAGGAACACAUGAGCGGAAUGCUAAGCGUGUUCUCGAUUUGAUGAUCCAGUUGGAAGGUCUGUGGGUAAAGCUUGGUCAAUACCUGUCCACCCGAGCCGACGCUCUGCCAGACGCUUAUGUGCGUCUUCUCAAACGGCUGCAGGACUCUCUUCCUCGUCGGCCACUGGAAGAGGUAACUGAAUGCUUCCAUCAAUAACUAUGCAGUCUUUGAGUUAUCUUGAACAUGAAAGAUAACUCAGGUGUUAAGUGGAUGCAAUACUAUGAGUUUAUGCCCUCUUUUUAUUGCUUCGAAUUGACUUCUUCAUUGUCAUCAUCAUCAAUCAUCCUCAUAAUGCACCACGAAAAUGCCAAGAUGCAUGACUACAAUGUGCAAUAUGCAUCUGAAAAAUGCUUCUGCAAAUAUACGAAACAAUACAUCAAAUUACAAUGCGUAAUAUGCAUUUCAUGGGAAGUUUAGAUGAGCAUAUUAGUAAUAGUUUCUACGAUGUUGAUAAGUCUGCUGCUUGGUCCCAGGUUCGCCAAACUAUAGAGAAGGAGCUGGGGAAACCUAUGAAUGAUAUCUUCUCUCAUUUUGUUGAGGAACCCCUUGCUACUGCAUCUGUAAGAUCAUUAUAAUAUACUGGUCCAUUUACAUGCUUAUACAUUGUAAGUUCAUUCUGGAAAAAUGAAUCUCAGAAUUUCCUUAAGAAUAGAGAAAUGCUUGCAGGUGGCACAAGUUCACCGUGCAACUCUGAGAGAUGGGCAGGAUGUGGUUGUUAAAGUUCAACAUGCGGGCAUCAAGGAAGUCAUCUUAGAGGUCUGCAAUUUGAGUCUUGACAAGAUGGCAAUUAAGUUGAUUAGAAGUCUUCACAUUAACAAAAGCCAAUUUCAGGACUUGAAGAAUGCCAAAUCAAUAACGGACUGGAUAGCAUGGGCAGAGCCACAAUAUGACUUCAAUCCAAUGAUAGAUGAAUGGUGCAAGGAGGCACCUAAAGAACUUGAUUUCAAUCAUGAAGCCGGUUGGUCUGAUAAGUUCAGUACCUUCAUUAUCAAUCCUUCAUCUGUCAAUACCUUGACAUGUUAAGCUGCAUCAUCUUUUGUCUGUAGAAAACACAAGAAGAGUUUCCGAAAACCUGCGACUCAAAAAUGAGCUCGAUGGCAUGAAUAGAGUAGAUGUGCUGAUCCCAGAAAUUAUUCAGGUGGAACUACACAGUUAUAGUUCUUACUUCAGCCACUCUCACCUGUAAAGAGAUGCCUUACAAUGUGUGCUUCUAUAAUUCCUGAUGGCAGUCAUCCGAGAUGGUCCUUCUGCUGCAAUACAUGGAUGGGAUUCGAUUGAAUGAUAAUGUUUCUCUGGAAGCAUAUGAGGUGGACAAGCAAAAGCUUGUUGAAGAGAUCACACGUGCAUAUGCUCAUCAAAUCUAUGUUGAUGGGUUCUUCAAUGGUGAUCCACAUCCAGGUGUGCUUGCUUAUGCCCACCUUUCUCACCAUUCUUGGAUCUUGGCAAUGUUUGCUGUCUUGGGAGAAGAAAGAAGAAAAGCUUAUGGUUGAUCAUGUAUCAAUUCUUGGUGGCUAUUUCUUGCAGGAAAUUUUCUUGUGUGCAAGGAACACCCAAAUCGCCCUAUUCUGCUGGACUUUGGCCUCACCAAGUCAAUAUCAAGCUCUAUGAAACAGGCACUAGCAAAAAUGUUUCUGGCAUGUGCUGAGGUA
This 11377-nucleotide long non-coding RNA is filed under the name Musa acuminata (dwarf banana). RNAcentral's name for it is "long non-coding RNA (MACU_LNC003028)". The record is from RNAcentral. Lineage: Eukaryota; Viridiplantae; Streptophyta; Magnoliopsida; Zingiberales; Musaceae.